This 258-nucleotide long non-coding RNA is filed under the name Anas platyrhynchos platyrhynchos (common mallard). RNAcentral describes it as "lncRNA (ENSAPLG00000024267.1)". Lineage: Eukaryota; Metazoa; Chordata; Aves; Anseriformes; Anatidae. The record is from RNAcentral.
GAAAAAAGGCUUAAAACUACUCUUUUUAUGACUGAUUGUUAAUGAUCUCAGCUGAAAUCAGAAUUGCUGCCCCACUGGCUUUACGGGAAACUGAUAGAAGUUGGGAAAACAAUAUCCAUUUCUGAGAAGGAAUGUUCAAAGAAGCUAAGGAUGACCAGUAUAAAAAUUCACAGGUGUGUAUGUGUGUACCUUUUAUCAAAUGGUAGUAGAAAGUGAUCCGAGUUAAUGUAAAAAUUGAUUCCUAAGGAGCAAAUAGCU